Molecule: ribosomal RNA, 274 nt
Filed under: uncultured bacterium
Lineage: Bacteria
Description: partial 16S ribosomal RNA
Rfam family: Bacterial small subunit ribosomal RNA
Source: RNAcentral
AUACGGAGGGUGCGAGCGUUAAUCGGAAUUACUGGGCGUAAAGGGUGCGUAGGCGGCUUGAUAAGUCGGAUGUGAAAGCCCCGGGCUUAACCCGGGAAUUGCAUUCGAUACUGUCAGGCUAGAGUAUGUCAGAGGUUGGCGGAAUUCCUGGUGUAGCGGUGAAAUGCGUAGAUAUCAGGAGGAACACCAGUGGCGAAGGCGGCUAACUGGGACAAUUCUGACGCUGAGGCACGAAAGCGUGGGGAGCAAACAGGAUUAGAUACCCUAGUAGUCC